RNAcentral lists this ribosomal RNA (253 nucleotides) under uncultured bacterium. RNAcentral describes it as "partial 16S ribosomal RNA". It matches the Rfam family "Bacterial small subunit ribosomal RNA", at positions 524 to 776 of the family's 1533-position model. The record is from RNAcentral.
UACGUAGGGGGCAAGCGUUGUUCGGAAUCACUGGGCGUAAAGCGUGUGUAGGCGGUUAAUCAAGUCAGAAGUGAAAUCCCAGGGCUUAACCCUGGAAUUGCUUUUGAAACUGAUUGGCUAGAGUACUGGAGAGGUUAGCAGAAUUCCGAGUGUAGAGGUGAAAUUCGCAGAUAUUCGGAGGAAUACCAGUGGCGUAAGCGGCUAACUGGACAGUAACUGACGCUGAGACACGAAAGCGUGGGGAGCAAACAGG